This 870-nucleotide ribosomal RNA is filed under the name uncultured soil bacterium. Its description in RNAcentral is "bacterial SSU rRNA". It matches the Rfam family "Bacterial small subunit ribosomal RNA", at positions 56 to 930 of the family's 1533-position model. The record is from RNAcentral.
UGCAGUCGAACGAGAACCCGGGGGCAACCCUGGGGGAAAGUGGCGAAAGGGGCAGUAAGGCGUGGGUAACCUACCUCCGGGACGGGGAUAGCCAUCCUAACGGGUGGGUAAGACCCGGCGAGGUAGCAAAGGCGCAUGUUUUUGCUACGAAAUGAUUUAUCGCCUGGAGAGGGGCUCACGUGAUAUUAGCUGGUUGGUGGGGUAACGGCCCACCAAGGCAAAGAUGUCUAGCGGGUGUGAGAGCACGACCCGCGCCACUGGCACUGAGACACUGGCCAGACUCCUACGGGAGGCUGCAGUCGAGGAUCUUCGGCAAUGGGCGCAAGCCUGACCGAGCGACGCCGCGUGCGCGAUGAAGGCCUUCGGGUUGUAAAGCGCUGUCGAGGGGGAGGAAGGCCGUCAAAUCGGCUUGACCUAUCCCUGGAGGAAGCACGGGCUAAGUUCGUGCCAGCAGCCGCGGUAAGACGAACCGUGCAAACGUUGUUCGGAAUCACUGGGCUUAAAGGGCGCGUAGGCGGUCGACCAAGUCCGGGGUGAAAUCUUUCGGCUCAACCGGAAAAGUGCCUUGGAUACUGGUCGGCUGGAGGGAGGUAGGGGCAGGUGGAACUUCCAGUGGAGCGGUGAAAUGCGUUGAUAUUGGAAGGAACGCCGGUGGCGAAAGCGACCUGCUGGACCUCUUCUGACGCUGAGGCGCGAAAGCUAGGGGAGCAAACGGGAUUAGAUACCCCGGUAGUCCUAGCCCUAAACGAUGGGUACUAGGUUGUGGACUUAACAUGGGUUCACAGCCGAAGCAAAAGUGUUAAGUACCCCGCCUGGGGAGUAUGGUCGCAAGGCUGAAACUCAAAGGAAUUGACGGGGGCUCACACAAGC